Nerophis ophidion (straightnose pipefish) is the source of this 1165-nucleotide long non-coding RNA. RefSeq lists it as uncharacterized. The transcript is spliced from 3 exons. Lineage: Eukaryota; Metazoa; Chordata; Actinopteri; Syngnathiformes; Syngnathidae. The record is from RefSeq and is a predicted model, not a curated record.
CUAAGAGCGCCCCGGUACACGCCCCUGCUCGCUCUUCCCGCAUCACAACUGCGCGCUUGCACGGCUGGGUACAAUUUUCAAUCAGCGCACCUGGUUCUAAGGAGGGCCGACGCCAUAAAGACCAGCGGACCCAAAGAUCCAGUGUGAGAAGUAUUCCUUCCGUCUCCUGUGAUCGAGCUGUGCGCCUUCCUUCACUGGACUUCCCUCCGGAUUUUGGACUGUUUCCCUCGAUCCUCGACCCCCGCUUGGACACGGACCUCAACGCCUCUCUCCAGCCCCCGACCUUUUGCCUGUUUAUGGACUUCCUUCUUACCUUGCCCCACUGGACUUUUGGACAAUUAAUUCAAAACGCACGAACAACAAACACUGGUAACAUUUACAUUGCUAAUUCCUCACAUCGUCUUACCUCAUACACCAUUAGUAGCAUACACACCCCAACACAUAAUUAAGCUCAAUUAACCUGUUGAGCAUUAUCCUGUCGUUGUGUCGUCUCCUUCCGCCGUAGAACAUAACAGAAACUACAUGAGACUUGUGAGACGAUGUCGGCCAACCCUGGAAGCUAGCUCAACUGUUCUGGCAAUGAAAUGGGGAAAUACUCUCCAUUUCCAUUCGAAUAAGCCGACUACAAGGGGCACCACUGGCUUAUAUGGCGUUGAAUGGAUGCUACAAAUUUGUGAAUUCAAGUAUUUUAUUGUUUCACUUUUAAUAUGUUUUUUGCAAUUUUAAUUUUGACAGUUCCACAUAAGAUAUGUUUUAUUUGCUGAUGCUGUCACGGCGUGGAUUCGAACCCUUGUCUCUCAUGCUUUGAGUGUCACAAUUCCUCCUCUGGCUGCUCACUUGGACACACUCCCGCUCGCGCUGGGCGCAGCACGCCCACGCAGCUACAAGGCUGCACACAAUCACUCAUCAGCGCACCUGGGCCUGACGAGAGGGAGCGGCAUAAAGAGUCAGCGAAGCCAGUAGACCUUCGCCAGAACGUAGCCGAUCUCACCUCACCCCCGACUGCUUGCCUCCCUCCUGACUACCCCUUCGCCUUCCCCUGUGGAUUCGACGAAAGAUACAUCCAACACGCACCGACAACACCCUUUGGUAAAUUCCACAUUGUUAAUUCCACACAUCGUCUGCAUUCACUCACUAGUGGUAGCCUACACAUCCCACACAUUCA